UGUGAUAUCCGGAAGCAACGCGCA
Molecule: non-coding RNA, 24 nt
Filed under: Arabidopsis thaliana (thale cress)
Lineage: Eukaryota; Viridiplantae; Streptophyta; Magnoliopsida; Brassicales; Brassicaceae
Source: RNAcentral